AUGCUUAACACAUGCAAGUCGAUUCCAUUUGCCUUCCGGUAUUGAGGAUGGCGGACGGGUGAGUAACGCGUAAGGAACUUGCCUCUUGGACUGGGACUACUGUUGGAAACGACAGCUAAUACCGGAUAUUAUGAGAUUCUCGCAUGAGAAACUUAUGAAAGCUAUAUGCGCCAAGAAAGAGCCUUGCGUUCCAUUAGCUAGUUGGUGGGGUAAUGGCCCACCAAGGCAACAAUGGAUAGCCGGCCUGAGAGGGUGAACGGCCACAAGGGGACUGAAACACGGCCCUUACUCCUACGGGAGGCAGCAGUGGGGAAUAUUGGACAAUGGGCCACAAGCCUGAUCCAGCAAUUCUGUGUGCACGAUGAAGGUCUUCGGAUUGUAAAGUGCUUUCAGUUGGGAAGAAGAAAGUGACGGUACCAACAGAAGAAGCGACGGCUAAAUACGUGCCAGCAGCCGCGGUAAUACGUAUGUCGCAAGCGUUAUCCGGAUUUAUUGGGCGUAAAGCGCGUCUAGGCGGAAAAAUAAGUCUGAUGUUAAAAUGCGGGGCUCAACUCCGUAUUGCGUUGGAAACUGUUUUUCUAGAGUACUGGAGAGGUGGGCGGAACUACCAGUGUAUAGGUGAAAUUCGCAGAUAUUUGUAGGAAUGCCCAGGGAGAAAUCGGCUCACUGGACAGAUACUGACGCUGAAACGCGAAAGCGUGGGGGACAAACAGGAUUAGAUACCCCUGGUAGUCCACGCCGUAAACGAUGAUCAGUAGGUGUUGGGGGUCGAACCUCUGCGCCCAAGCUAACGCGAUAAGUGAUCCGCCUGGGAGUACGCACGCAAGUGUGAUACUCAUAGGAAUUGACGGGGACCCGCACAAGCGGUGGAGCAUGUGGUUUAAUUCGACGCAACGCGAGAAACCUUACCAGCGUUUGACAUCAUAAGAAGUUUCCAGAGAUGGAUUCGUGCUGGCUUGCCGGAACUUAGUGACAGGUGGUGCAUGGCUGUCGUCAGCUCGUGUCGUGAGAUGUUGGGUUAAGUCCCGCAACGAGCGCAACCCUCUAUUGUAUGUUGCUACCAUUAAGUUGAGCAUUCAUGCGAUACUGCCUGCGAUGAGCAGGAGGAAGGUGGGGAUGACGUCAAGUCAUCAUGCCCCUUAUACGCUGGGCUACACACGUGUUACAAUGGGCAGUACAGAGAGUUGCCAACCCGCGAGGGUGAGCUAAUCUCUUAAAGCUGUUCUUAGUUCGGAUUGUAUUCUGCAACUCGAGUACAUGAAGUUGGAAUCGCUAGUAAUCGCAAAUCAGCAUGUUGCGGUGAAUACGUUCUCGGGUCUUGUACACACCGCCCGUCACACCACGAGAGUUGGUUGCACCUGAAGUAGCAGGCCUAACC
RNAcentral lists this ribosomal RNA (1378 nucleotides) under uncultured bacterium. RNAcentral's name for it is "16S ribosomal RNA". It matches the Rfam family "Bacterial small subunit ribosomal RNA". The record is from RNAcentral.